UACGUAGGGGGCGAGCGUUGUCCGGAAUGAGUGGGCGUAAAGCGCGCGCAGGCGGUAAUUUAAGUCUGAUGUAAAAGCCCUCGGUUUAACCGCUGAAGGUCAUUGGAAACUGGGGGACUUGAGGCUAGGAGAGGGAAGUGGAAUUCCUGGUGUAGCGGUGAAAUGCGUAGAGAUCAGGAGGAAUACCGAUGGCGAAAGCAACUUCCUGGCUUAUAACUGACGCUGAGGCGCGAAAGCGUGGGGAGCAAACAGG
RNAcentral lists this ribosomal RNA (253 nucleotides) under uncultured bacterium. Its description in RNAcentral is "partial 16S ribosomal RNA". It matches the Rfam family "Bacterial small subunit ribosomal RNA", at positions 524 to 776 of the family's 1533-position model. The record is from RNAcentral.